This 657-nucleotide long non-coding RNA is filed under the name Crocodylus porosus (Australian saltwater crocodile). RNAcentral's name for it is "lncRNA (ENSCPRG00005006962.1)". Lineage: Eukaryota; Metazoa; Chordata; Crocodylia; Crocodylidae. The record is from RNAcentral.
CUCAGUGCUUGUGUUCUCCAGCAAAUGUUAUUGGUUUUAUACAUAGUUAGUUCAGACUCAAGUUUGUUGCUAUGAUGCCAACCACCAAUGGGUCCUGUUCUUUUCUGAAAAAUUGGUCAUAGUCCUGGCUCAUCCCUUCUUCCUGGUAACAUUUGGAGGAUUUGAAACAUGACCUUACUCCAGCCCGCAAUUUGGUUGAAAGACUGGGAGGGCUACGUAUUGGAUUUCAAAUAUCAGUGGUCUCAUCCUGCCAAAGAUUGGCAAAGUCUUUCAGGAACAAGAGGUUUGGAGUCCUAUUGAAUGCUGCUGAUGGAUUUUCUAUGUAGAGCAGGUGUUACCAGCCAUAAGAACAUCACCUGACUGAAGUGUUGGAUGUGCUACUCCGGGUUUACAACACUAUGUGUUGAGGGGCUGAUUACUAAGAAGAAUGGCCUCCUGCUUACGGCAAUAGAUUGAGACUCAUGUUUCAAUUUUUUGUCAUCAACUUCUUUUUUGACCUUGAACAAGUCACUUAAUUUAUCUCUGCCUUGGUUCCUUUUCCAUAAAAUGAAGAAAAUGUCUCCCUAUAUCAGAAGUACUCGUAAACUUUAUGGUAUGUUGAUAGAUAUAGCUAAAAGGACAGAAUAAAACAUCAAUCCUUCAUUUUUGUGAAGACCA